This 468-nucleotide ribosomal RNA is filed under the name uncultured bacterium. RNAcentral's name for it is "bacterial SSU rRNA". It matches the Rfam family "Bacterial small subunit ribosomal RNA", at positions 32 to 504 of the family's 1533-position model. The record is from RNAcentral.
AAGACGCUGGCGGCGUGCUCACACAUGCAGUCGAACGGGAUUAGGGGCUUGCUCCUAAUCUAGUGGCGCACGGGUGAGUACGCGUGGAUACCUACCCUGGUAUCUGGGAUAACAUCUCGAAAGGGGUGCUAAUACCGGAUAAGCCCACGGGAACUUUGGUUCUUGCGGGAAAAGAUGGCCUCUAUUUAUAAGCUAUCGUAUCAGGAUGGGUCCGCGUACCAUUAGCUAGUUGGUGGUGUAAUGGACCACCAAGGCGACGAUGGUUAGCUGGUCUGAGAGGAUGAUCAGCCACACUGGAACUGAGACACGGUCCAGACUCCUACGGGAGGCAGCAGUGGGGAAUCUUGCACAAUGGGGGAAACCCUGAUGCAGCGACGCCGCGUGAGCGAUGAAGCCCUUCGGGGUGUAAAGCUCUUUCGGCAGGGACGAAACAUGACGGUACCUGCAGAAGCAGCUGCGGCUAACUAC